AGGUCUCUCUUUUGUGGUAUUUUUGGAUCCUUACCAAGGCAGUGAUGGUAUAUGCCUUCUCUCAAGAUAUGUGGUAUUUGUGGUAUGAGGCAUAGUGACAUUGUCUUCUCUCUCACCCUACUCUAAUAAGGCUUUAAUAUCUGGAGCUCAUAGGUGGGAGAUAAAAUAUACAUACUUACAAGACAUUUAUUGCAUAGUCAAACCAUGGAUCCAAAGUAACAAGUCAAUAAGCCAAAUCAAGAUGUGCAUGUGUGGCGAAUGAAUGGUAUAUGGUGAUGAUGGUGAUAACAAUGGUGGUGGAAGUCUAAUUCUACUUUGCUCUUUUGAGGGGAUACAUACCUUCCUUGCUUUUGAAACUUUAUGAGGAGAAUGAGAUGCUCUUCUUUUUCUUUUCUCUCAGGUGGGUAUCUUGCACCCCUAAUUCUACUGUCGGACACUUGUCCAUUUUUACCUCUCGUCUCACUUUUUCUUUUCUUUCGAGGUUCCGAGCACUUGCUCCUUUUUAUUUCCUCGUAUUAUUUUCUCUCUUUUUUUUAGAGCAUUCAUCUCUUGAGAUAAUAUAGCAAGUGGUAAUAACAAGAUAACUUGAGCAUUAAUUUCACAAGGGGAAAACAGAAAUAUUUUUGGUUAUUCUCUCCCGGAUUAGGAGUAGAAUAUUUUUGGUUGGUUCUGGAGAUGGAAUGGGUGAAUAUAUGUGGAUGGUACUUCCGGAGUAGAAGUAGCAUAUAUGAGUGAACGUGCAAGUGAAAUCUUGAUUUAACCACAUGACAAGCUCCUAAGGGUCUACACAGCUUGACCACACUCAAUGCUCAUA
Molecule: long non-coding RNA, 814 nt
Filed under: Sorghum bicolor (sorghum)
Lineage: Eukaryota; Viridiplantae; Streptophyta; Magnoliopsida; Poales; Poaceae
Description: long non-coding RNA (SBIC_LNC013861)
Source: RNAcentral